AUUACAGAGUUGCAAAACUCCCUAAACCAUUGUGAACGUUACCUAUACCGUUGCUUCGGCGGGCGGCCCGGGUCCUGCCCGGCGCCCCUCGGCCCCUCGCGGGCGCCCGCCGGAGGAAAACCAAACUAUUGCAUUGUAUGGCCUCUCUGAGUCUUCUGUACUGAAUAAGUCAAAACUUUCAACAACGGAUCUCUUGGUUCUGGCAUCGAUGAAGAACGCAGCGAAAUGCGAUAAGUAAUGUGAAUUGCAGAAUUCAGUGAAUCAUCGAAUCUUUGAACGCACAUUGCGCCCGCCAGUAUUCUGGCGGGCAUGCCUGUUCGAGCGUCAUUUCAACCAUCAAGCCCCCGGCUUGUGUUGGGGACCUGCGGCUGCCGCAGGCCCUGAAAACCAGUGGCGGGCUCGCUGUCACUCCGAGCGUAGUAGUUUACAUCUCGCUCAGGGCGUGCUGCGGGUUCCGGCCGUUAAAAGCCUUAUUUUACCCAAGGUUGACCUCGGAUCAGGUAGGAAGACCCGCUGAACUUAAGCAUAUCAAUAAGCGGAGGAAAAGAAACCAACAGGGAUUGCCCUAGUAACGGCGAGUGAAGCGGCAACAGCUCAAAUUUGAAAUCUGGCUUCGGCCCGAGUUGUAAUUUGCAGAGGAAGCUUUAGGCGCGGCACCAACUGAGUCCCCUGGAACGGGGCGCCACAGAGGGUGAGAGCCCCGUAUAGUUGGACGCUAAGCCUGUGUAAAGCUCCUUCGACGAGUCGAGUAGUUUGGGAAUGCUGCUCAAAAUGGGAGGUAAAUUUCUUCUAAAGCUAAAUACCGGCCAGAGACCGAUAGCGCACAAGUAGAGUGAUCGAAAGAUGAAAAGCACUUUGAAAAGAGGGUUAAAUAGCACGUGAAAUUGUUGAAAGGGAAGCGCUUGUGACCAGACUUGCGCCCGGCUGAUCAUCCGGUGUUCUCACCGGUGCACUCUGCCGGGCUCAGGCCAGCAUCGGUUCUCGCGGGGGGAUAAAGGCCCUGGGAACGUAGCUCCUCCGGGAGUGUUAUAGCCCAGGGUGUAAUGCCCUCGCGGGGACCGAGGUUCGCGCAUCUGCAAGGAUG
Molecule: small RNA, 1084 nt
Filed under: Humicola floriformis
Lineage: Eukaryota; Fungi; Ascomycota; Sordariomycetes; Sordariales; Chaetomiaceae
Description: eukaryotic LSU rRNA
Rfam family: Eukaryotic large subunit ribosomal RNA (bases 487-1084)
Source: RNAcentral